ACGGAGGGUGCAAGCGUUAUUCGGAAUUACUGGGCGUAAAGGGCGUGCAGGCGGGAGAGCAAGUCUGCUGUGAAAGCUCUGGGCUUAACCCCGGGGGGGCCGUGGAAACUGCUAGUCUUGAAUUCGGGAGAGGAAGGUAGAAUGUCCGGUGUAGAGGUGAAAUUCGUAGAGAUCGCGAGGAACAUCAGUUGCGAAGGCACCUUUCUGGGCCGCUACUGACGCUGAGGCGCGAAAGCGUGGGGAUCAAACAG
RNAcentral lists this ribosomal RNA (251 nucleotides) under uncultured prokaryote. Its description in RNAcentral is "partial 16S rRNA". It matches the Rfam family "Bacterial small subunit ribosomal RNA", at positions 525 to 775 of the family's 1533-position model. The record is from RNAcentral.